RNAcentral lists this ribosomal RNA (274 nucleotides) under uncultured bacterium. RNAcentral describes it as "partial 16S ribosomal RNA". It matches the Rfam family "Bacterial small subunit ribosomal RNA", at positions 523 to 796 of the family's 1533-position model. The record is from RNAcentral.
CUACGGAGGGAGCAAGCGUUAUUCGGAAUCACUGGGCGUAAAGGACGCGUAGGCGGGUUUGUAAGUCAGGUGUGAAGUCCUACAGCUCAACUGUAGAACUGCACUUGAAACUACAGACCUAGAGUAUGGAAGGGGCAGAUGGAAUUAGUGGUGUAGGGGUAAAAUCCGUAGAUAUCACUAGGAAUACCGAAAGCGAAGGCGAUCUGCUGGGACAUUACUGACGCUGAGGCGUGAAAGCGUGGGGAGCAAACAGGAUUAGAAACCCCUGUAGUCC